GGAAAUGUGCCUGAAUAAAGGACCACUUUGAUAGAGUGGGUCAUGAGAGUUAAACCCCCUCCAUUUCCU
Molecule: transfer RNA, 69 nt
Filed under: Simenchelys parasitica (snubnosed eel)
Lineage: Eukaryota; Metazoa; Chordata; Actinopteri; Anguilliformes; Synaphobranchidae
Description: tRNA-Ile
Rfam family: tRNA
About the family: Transfer RNA (tRNA) molecules are approximately 80 nucleotides in length. Their secondary structure includes four short double-helical elements and three loops (D, anti-codon, and T loops). Further hydrogen bonds mediate the characteristic L-shaped molecular structure. tRNAs have two regions of fundamental functional importance: the anti-codon, which is responsible for specific mRNA codon recognition, and the 3' end, to which the tRNAs corresponding amino acid is attached (by aminoacyl-tRNA synthetases). tRNAs cope with the degeneracy of the genetic code in two manners: having more than one tRNA (with a specific anti-codon) for a particular amino acid; and 'wobble' base-pairing, i.e. permitting non-standard base-pairing at the 3rd anti-codon position.
Source: RNAcentral